CGGGAAGAGCUCAAAUUUAAAAUCUGGCAGCCUUGUGUUGUCCGAGUUGUAAUUUAGAGAAGCGUUAUCCGCGCUAGACCGUACACAAGUCUCCUGGAAUGGAGCGUCAUAGAGGGUGAGAAUCCCGUCUUUGGUACGGACUGCUAGGGCAUUGUGAUACGCUCUC
This 166-nucleotide ribosomal RNA is filed under the name Mycena sp. RNAcentral's name for it is "partial large subunit ribosomal RNA". It matches the Rfam family "Eukaryotic large subunit ribosomal RNA", at positions 99 to 258 of the family's 3401-position model. Lineage: Eukaryota; Fungi; Basidiomycota; Agaricomycetes; Agaricales; Mycenaceae. The record is from RNAcentral.